UACCGUGUUGACUUGCUUGUUCUCCAGCAUAGGAGGAGGAGGUAAAUCCAAAUCCAGAAGAAGACGCCGUUACUGGUCUACUGGAGCCGGGCUCUGAUGCCAUCCAUACCCGCCCUCCUCCGACAUGUCACACACAUCUACAGCGGCCACCACAUGCGUCACUUCGCCGCAUUCAUCGCUCCACGCCUCGGCCCAUGGGGGGAUCAACAAGUACCGACAGAUUGGCAUCCGGAACCGGACCGGUGCUGCCCAGUCCACCGCAGCAGCAGCAGGAGGAGAUGGAGGUCUCCCCACAGUGAGAUCCAGGCGGCGCGCCGGUCUCCUCCUGCACAUCACAGUUAACUCUUUCUGAGCCUCAUCCGGCUGACACCUGAACGCACCACAGUUUGUAGCGGACCAGUAGAUCCCCUUCCGGCUGGAGGAUCCCGAAACCGUAGCGGGUGGAAUCGACUGGAGGCAUUUGUGCUUUGGGGUCGCACACUUGCAGGUCCACAUGAGUGAGCAUCAGGAGCACAAAGCUGCAGAGAAAUCAGGGUGGACGGAUGGUGCGUACCGAACACUGGCGUGCUGUGCGUCUCCAUUGCGGAGGGAUGCCGGGGGGAGCCGUCCUCCCGGGUCAGACCUCUCAACUCUGAUUGAAGCGCCUCCAUGGCCUGAGGGCGCAUCUCUGCACUGACAGCCGGGCCAAAUGGCCAGCACGCUCCCCAGCUGCAUCACACGUUGUCCCCGUGUCCUUCAUCAACGUGCGAGGAGAAGUUUGGCUGAGAUGUUCACCACUGAGGGGGAUGCUCCACUUUCCAUCACAGAGUGUACGGAUGUGCUCCAUGCAGCACUCACACAGCGAGGACUGAUGGACGAGCCGACGGACUCGUGGAUGGUAUUUUCUUAAUCUACGGAGUAUCCGAGAGCUCCUGCAUCAGGUGAGCCACCUUGGAAGCUUUCCUCAGGUUGCGCACUGCUGCUGCAUGCUGAGAAGCAUCUUUGGGUGGAGAUGUUUCCUAGCUCCUAGCUUACUACCGCCACCUCCUGGUAAGAGACUGCACUAUACAGUAUAUACACUAUAUAUGUACAGUGUAUACAGUCAGCCAUUGCACUAAAACAGGGGUGGGCAAACUACGGCCCGGGGGCCACAUCCGGCCCGCCAAGUGUUUGAAUACGGCCCGUCCGUUCUUUCCAAAGUAUUUCAUUUAAACUCAACAUACGAACUGGCAUCAUGGCUUGAGCCAACCUUUUGAUGGUUUUAUCAAUUUUGUUAUUUGAUGUGGUCUGUUGUUUACAAAGUGCUCCUGAAAAAAGGGACACAAGCAUAAUGAUGAUAAUAAU
Doryrhamphus excisus (bluestripe pipefish) is the source of this 1323-nucleotide non-coding RNA. Lineage: Eukaryota; Metazoa; Chordata; Actinopteri; Syngnathiformes; Syngnathidae. The record is from RefSeq and is a predicted model, not a curated record.